This is a long non-coding RNA of Panthera uncia (snow leopard), 1700 nucleotides long. RefSeq lists it as uncharacterized. The record is from RefSeq and is a predicted model, not a curated record. The transcript is spliced from 6 exons. Lineage: Eukaryota; Metazoa; Chordata; Mammalia; Carnivora; Felidae.
ACUGGUGUGAAAGAAAUAUUCUUUUCUGAUUCCCCAAGUGCGCGUCGCUUGUCUCUUCCUGGGGGCCGAGUAUUUGCUGUAACAAUAUGACCUCAAAGAACCAGCUUUCUGGGCUUGUGGAGGCAGAGGAGGAAGAGGAGUUCUACCAGAUGGCAUCUGGGGGUUUCACAGAAGAAUCUGGAGGUAGGUUUCACGCCCAGCACAGAGCCCAACUUGGAGCUUGAACUCAAGACCCUGAGAUCAAGACCUGAGCUGAGAUCAAGAGUCGAAUGCUUAACUGCUGAGCCACCCAGGAGGUGUACCAAAAGUCCCGUGUCCGGAUUUUGAAUGAGUGCUUCAUUUCAGGAUCAAUUACCUUAAGCUUCCCACAAACUGAAAGCUUCUGGAAGAAAAGAACUGGGUUUGGACUUCUCAGGAGCCUGUGCCCCCUCCUGGAAAGGGCACAGACUUAGAGUUCAACCUGGGUUCAACUCCUGACUUUUAGCCAUUAACAGCCCUAUGACCUUGGGAUUGGAAAUACAGAGAAAGUGGAGCUGCAUCCUUACCUGGGAGUGUGUUCUUAAGGAAGCUUUCUGAGGACCACAAUAUUCACAUCAGAAACCAUGUAGAACAUCGAGGAGUCAAGAGGAAGAUCAUAAUUCAUAGGCUUCAGAAAAUUGAGUUCCUGGAGUGAAUACUGCAAAUGACUAUUCAGAGACCAUGAAGAGUGAGCUUUCAGACCUACCCCUCAGCCACAAGUUACCCGGCAAAGGAGGAGGAGCGAGGAAGAGGUCAGUGCAUCUUCGUGCCAUGGUGCCUCCACAGUAAACCAAAAGAAUGCACCAAGGAAGCUGAAUAGUGGCUUGGUGCUGUUUAUGCAGAAUUUCCAAAUCAGAGAAGGCAGAUCCCUUAUCCAAAACUUGGUGCGUUGGCCCACCUACCCUGGAAAGCAGGCUAUGGAUUGCCCCAGAUAAAAUACUAGAUGCUGACCUCUGAACCACUUAUUUAAAUUCAUUUCUGGCUUAUUCUUUCCAAAUAGCAAUUGAGUUUGACUAUUGUGUUCAGCCAUCUGCAGCCCAUGUUUAUAAUUGUUCAUGCUAUCAUUGUCUCUGAGAUUUUCCUAGUUAAUAUUAUUAAGGGGUGGAUAUAUGACUUCCUGGGUGGUUCAACUCACUCUUCUGGUCUGUUUUGAUAAGAAAGUGCCUACCUGCUGCACCAAGGGGCUUUCACUGGCAUUUUAAAUUUUUGCUUGUGAGGAAAUAAUAUAGGAGACAGAAUCACUCUACUGGUUGCCUUUCGGAUAUAGAAUUCUGCUUAAUUUGCAAAAACUAUUUAUAAAUUCUAACUAUUAACUCAGCCUUUCUUGCUGGCCUCACAAAAGCAGCUCUUAGGAAAUAAAGCAUUUGGGACCCAAUGGGAAAGAUUCCAAGCUUGUUCUGCCGAAUCUCCUGAGUUAUCCUGAGUCCCACCUGAGAUUUUGGGAUUCUUCUAUUAAGAAGGGGAGGGAGAGAUUGGCCCCAUUUGGAACAUAGAUGAUAGGGAGUAAAUAGACUUGUCUGUUUUUCAAAGAUAAUUGCGGGUUAUGAAACAAAGCUAAGUAGGCAGCAAAAUCCUACGCAGAUUACAAAAGACAUUUUACAUCUCUGCGUUAGCACACGUAAUUUUAGGCCCCGGAGCAAUGUCUGGUGGACCAGUUGAAUGUGCUAGGGCAAUUGUUUAAU